This 783-nucleotide ribosomal RNA is filed under the name uncultured Moryella sp. RNAcentral describes it as "bacterial SSU rRNA". It matches the Rfam family "Bacterial small subunit ribosomal RNA", at positions 71 to 776 of the family's 1533-position model. Lineage: Bacteria; Bacillati; Bacillota; Clostridia; Lachnospirales; Lachnospiraceae. The record is from RNAcentral.
ACAUUAGUCACUGCUCAUAUUACACCACAGCAGACCUAUCACACAACCACCACAGGAACACACAUCACAACCUCUCUAGCACCAACACAGCCAACAGCGACACACGGACAAGAAAACCUCAGCACACACCUACACUGGGGGGAUCACCAUCGGACACGAUGCCACACACCACAUACGCACACCGGCCACAAGAGGGGGGACCAUAGAGCAUCACCGACUCAGGAUAACACAGGUGGGAUUAAACACAUUGGUGAGGUAAGGGGUCACAAGGCGAAAAUCCCAAACUGGUCAGAGAGGAUGAUUAGCCACACAGGAAAUGAAAACAAGAUCCCAAAAUCCUACGGGAGGCAGCAGUGGGGAAUAUUGCACAAUGGGCGCAAGCCUGAUGCAGCCAUGCCGCGUGUAUGCAGAAGGCCUUCGGGUUGUAAAGUACUUUCAGUCGUGAGGAAGGCGGCGUCGUUAAAAGCGGCGUUGUUUGACGUUAACGAAAGAAGAAGCACCGGCUAACUCCGUGCCAGCACCCGCGGUAAUACGGAGGGUGCGAGCGUUAAUCGGAAUUACUGGGCGUAAAGCGCAAGCAGGUGGUUUGUUAAGUCAGAUGUGAAAGCCCGGGGCUCAACCUCGGAAUAGCAUUUGAAACUGGCAGACUAGAGUACUGUAGAGGGGGGUAGAAUUUCAGGUGUAGCGGUGAAAUGCGUAGAGAUCUGAAGGAAUACCGGUGGCGAAGGCGGCCCCCUGGACAGAUACUGACACUCAGAUGCGAAAGCGUGGGGAGCAAACAGG